Long non-coding RNA from Neltuma alba, 396 nucleotides. RefSeq lists it as uncharacterized. The record is from RefSeq and is a predicted model, not a curated record. The transcript is spliced from 2 exons. NCBI's taxonomy places the organism in Eukaryota, Viridiplantae, Streptophyta, Magnoliopsida, Fabales, Fabaceae.
CAGCAUCUUUCCUCAAGCUUAUUUUGAUUAUGAAAUACGUGAAAGGCAAUGGUUCAGAGCCCUUCGGUGGAGCCGUUAAGAAACAGGCCUCGUUCAACAUGGUAAGCUAGCCCCGCACACUUGUAUACAUGAGAUGAAGUUAAUUAUCUGGAGUGGCAUAUCCAAAUAUGGGCAUGGCUUCAUCAACAAGAGAGACCAAUGAAGAUGAAAUCUGAUUUUAUAUAUGUUGUAAUCAUUUGAAUUUAAUAAAGUUGACAUGCUCGAAGCUUUGGUGAGAUAUGCAUUAAUCGUAUUUCUCUAUGAAUCUGUAUUGUACCUGAAUUAUGGAGAUGGUGUUAUUAAUAUGUCAGCUUUCUGAUAUUUCAUGGAGUGAUGAUCCUGAUCUUGUAUUUCCUG